GUGUAUUAUCAAAGAAGAUUCAACAUUCAAAUGACAUUCCGUGGAGCAGAUGGGUAAAAACAUAGGUUUGAAACACAGGCCAAACCUACAGAGGGUGCACAUGGUUUGUGAAAGGUGGUCAAAAGAAUAUCCAAGGAGUGCACCUGCCCCCAUCCCGAAAGACAAGGACCAGCAACAUCCUCAAAGUUUAUUCAUUAAUGAUCCUUCCGCAGGUUCACCUACGGAAA
This 227-nucleotide unclassified non-coding RNA is filed under the name uncultured fungus. Its description in RNAcentral is "sequence contains ITS1". Lineage: Eukaryota; Fungi. The record is from RNAcentral.